Molecule: ribosomal RNA, 445 nt
Filed under: uncultured bacterium
Lineage: Bacteria
Description: partial 16S ribosomal RNA
Rfam family: Bacterial small subunit ribosomal RNA
Source: RNAcentral
GCCAGACUCCUACGGGAGGCAGCAGUGGGGGAUAUUGCACAAUGGGGGAAACCCUGAUGCAGCGACGCCGCGUGGGUGAAGAAGCGCCUCGGCGCGUAAAGCCCUGUCAGCAGGGAAGAAAAUGACGGUACCUGAAGAAGAAGCCCCGGCUAACUACGUGCCAGCAGCCGCGGUAAUACGUAGGGGGCAAGCGUUAUCCGGAUUUACUGGGUGUAAAGGGAGCGCAGGCGGCACGCUAAGCCUGAUGUGAAAACCCGCGGCCCAACCGCGGGAGUGCAUUGGGAACUGGCGAGCUAGAGUACCGGAGGGGCAGGCGGAAUUCCUAGUGUAGCGGCGAAAUGCGUAGAUAUUAGGAGGAACACCGGUGGCGAAGGCGGCCUGCUGGACUGUAACUGACGUUGAGGCUCGAAAGCGUGGGGAGCAAACAGGAUUAGAUACCCGCGUA